CGGGGACCCGCACAAGCGGUGGAGCAUGUGGUUUAAUUCGAAGCAACGCGAAGAACCUUACCAAAUCUUGACAUCCUUUGACAACUCUAGAGAUAGAGCCUUCCCCUUCGGGGGACAAAGUGACAGGUGGUGCAUGGUUGUCGUCAGCUCGUGUCGUGAGAUGUUGGGUUAAGUCCCGCAACGAGCGCAACCCUUAAGCUUAGUUGCCAUCAUUAAGUUGGGCACUCUAAGUUGACUGCCGGUGACAAACCGGAGGAAGGUGGGGAUGACGUCAAAUCAUCAUGCCCCUUAUGAUUUGGGCUACACACGUGCUACAAUGGACA
RNAcentral lists this ribosomal RNA (323 nucleotides) under Staphylococcus aureus. RNAcentral describes it as "bacterial SSU rRNA". It matches the Rfam family "Bacterial small subunit ribosomal RNA", at positions 914 to 1236 of the family's 1533-position model. Lineage: Bacteria; Bacillati; Bacillota; Bacilli; Caryophanales; Staphylococcaceae. The record is from RNAcentral.